RNAcentral lists this ribosomal RNA (304 nucleotides) under Shigella boydii. Its description in RNAcentral is "partial 23S ribosomal RNA". It matches the Rfam family "Bacterial large subunit ribosomal RNA", at positions 446 to 752 of the family's 2925-position model. The record is from RNAcentral. Lineage: Bacteria; Pseudomonadati; Pseudomonadota; Gammaproteobacteria; Enterobacterales; Enterobacteriaceae.
GGGGGGACCAUCCUCCAAGGCUAAAUACUCCUGACUGACCGAUAGUGAACCAGUACCGUGAGGGAAAGGCGAAAAGAACCCCGGCGAGGGGAGUGAAAAAGAACCUGAAACCGUGUACGUACAAGCAGUGGGAGCACGCUUAGGCGUGUGACUGCGUACCUUUUGUAUAAUGGGUCAGCGACUUAUAUUCUGUAGCAAGGUUAACCGAAUAGGGGAGCCGAAGGGAAACCGAGUCUUAACUGGGCGUUAAGUUGCAGGGUAUAGACCCGAAACCCGGUGAUCUAGCCAUGGGCAGGUUGAAGGU